AGAAGACGUACCAACAAAAUUAUUCGUAUAAUAUAUAGUAUCACUUUUGAGUGUCUUACAUAGCAAUCUUCAUUUGAAAACAUAACUAACGGAUUACCAUCAGCUUUAUAAAGUAACAAUUUGCCCACUAAUCACAAUUGAUAUGAGAGCACCUAAUAACAUUUUUUUUAUAUAUCGGUGCAGAUCUUACUAAUAGGGUUACAUGAAUUACAAAUUUUUAUGAAUAAAUGACCUCAAUUCUUUUUUUUCAACAUUAAAUCAAUCAACUAGCAAAUACAACCAAAAAAAAACUAAGAAAACAGUUUAAAAUAAAACAAACAAAAUAAGCAAAGACUACUGAAAAAACCUAACAAACAUGGCAUGGGCACACUGAUGGAGGCUAGGACCUCAAGUGUUCCAAUUGUGAAGCAGAGCGGCAAACCAAGCUCUUUGAGCUUCGUUGGAAGUUGCAGCCGAUGCGAUUCUUCCUUCCUUGUGUGGUGAUUUCAGGGUUGAGAGGAAGAGUGCGACCAAUUCCGGGAUAAGGACCGUCGGCCCCCUUUGAUUAGUUGUUGUCGGCAGGAGCUGGAUUCGCUGUCCUCCUCCUCCGUUGCUGGAGCCGUGUCGGGGCUGUUAUAAGAGAGAGCGACAUGGAGGCGGCCCCGCGAGAAGAGGCCGCCGUCCAUUUGUGCUUGGUGGCGGCGGCAGCGGCUUGAAGUUGCAGGAGCAGCGUUGAUGGUGGUUGUGAUGUCGAGAAAAUGGCGGUGGUGAUGGCUAUGAUUUGCGCAGAGAAGUCGUAAUUAUAACUAGAGGGAGGGAAGCUAUUGACUGCUACAUCAAGAUCUCCUCUUUG
This 832-nucleotide long non-coding RNA is filed under the name Linum usitatissimum (flax). Its description in RNAcentral is "long non-coding RNA (LUSI_LNC006407)". The record is from RNAcentral. Lineage: Eukaryota; Viridiplantae; Streptophyta; Magnoliopsida; Malpighiales; Linaceae.